Molecule: ribosomal RNA, 550 nt
Filed under: Clostridioides difficile
Lineage: Bacteria; Bacillati; Bacillota; Clostridia; Peptostreptococcales; Peptostreptococcaceae
Description: partial 23S ribosomal RNA
Rfam family: Bacterial large subunit ribosomal RNA
Source: RNAcentral
CUUUGAAACCAGGACGCCAGUUUUGGCGGAGCCAUCCUUGGGAUACCACCCUUGUAGUACUGGGACUCUAACCAUAGGCCAUGAAUCUGGUCUUGGGACACUGUCAGGUGGGCAGUUUGACUGGGGCGGUCGCCUCCCAAAAGGUAACGGAGGCGCUCAAAGGUUCUCUCAGUACGGUCGGAAAUCGUACGUAGAGUGUAAAGGCAAAAGAGAGCUUGAUUGCAAGACAUACAGGUCGAGCAAGGAUGAAAAUCGGACUUAGUGAUCCGGUGGUUCUGCGUGGAAGGGCCAUCGCUCAACGGAUAAAAGCUACCCUGGGGAUAACAGGCUUAUCUCCCCCAAGAGUCCACAUCGACGGGGAGGUUUGGCACCUCGAUGUCGGCUCAUCACAUCCUGGGGCUGUAGUAGGUCCCAAGGGUUGGGCUGUUCGCCCAUUAAAGUGGUACGCGAGCUGGGUUCAGAACGUCGUGAGACAGUUCGGUCCCUAUCCGUCGCAGGCGUAGGAAAUUUGAGAAGACCUGUCCUUAGUACGAGAGGACCGGGAUGGACG